UUGGUCAUUUAGAGGAAGUAAAAGUCGUAACAAGGUCUCCGUAGGUGAACCUGCGGAGGGAUCAUUACUGAAUGGCCUUUUGGGCCUUCAACCUUCAAAAACAUGUGGAAGCAAGAUGUGCUUCGGUGCCUCUGGUGCCGCCUUUAUGCAGUGAAGCCUUAUUUGUCUGAACCAAAAUCAAAAAGUUAAAACUUUCAACAAAGGAUCUCUUGGCUCUCACAUCGAUGAAGAACGCAGCGAAGCGCGAAAUGUAGUGUGAAUCGCRGAACUUAGUGAAUCAUCGAAUCUUUGAACGCACAUUGCGCCUCCCAUCAUCGGGAGGCAUGCCUGUCUGAGCGUCAUUUAAACCAUAGCUCCCAUCUGGGACUGUACUGGGCAUCGCCGACGGCGUAGCCUCAAAGACAUUGGUCUAAUCAAGCGGACGAGUUCCUUUAGGACGGACCGUUGGGUUGACCUUAAACCUCUGACUUGACCUCAGAUCAGGUAGGGCUACCGCCUGAACUUAAGCAUAUCAAUAAGCGGAGGA
This 526-nucleotide ribosomal RNA is filed under the name uncultured fungus. RNAcentral's name for it is "eukaryotic LSU rRNA". The stretch from base 190 to 341 matches the Rfam family "5.8S ribosomal RNA". Lineage: Eukaryota; Fungi. The record is from RNAcentral.